Molecule: non-coding RNA, 24 nt
Filed under: Arabidopsis thaliana (thale cress)
Lineage: Eukaryota; Viridiplantae; Streptophyta; Magnoliopsida; Brassicales; Brassicaceae
Source: RNAcentral
UGGGUUAGCCUAUAUUAACAUCAC